GGACUACUGGGGUAUCUAAUCCUGUUCGCUCCCCACGCUUUCGUCCAUCAGCGUCAAUCCACCGGUAGCAACCUGCCUUCGCAAUUGGUAUUCCAUGUAAUAUCUAAGCAUUUCACCGCUACACUACAUAUUCUAGUUGCUUCCCAGUAAUUCAAGUCCUGCAGUAUCAAUGGCCGUUCCGCCGUUGAGCGACGGGCUUUCACCACUGACUUACAAGACCGCCUACGGACCCUUUAAACCCAAUGAUUCCGGAUAACGCUUGGAUCCUCCGUAUUACCGCGGCGGCUGGCAC
This 292-nucleotide ribosomal RNA is filed under the name uncultured bacterium. Its description in RNAcentral is "partial 16S ribosomal RNA". RNAcentral also lists the same sequence under 1 other name. The record is from RNAcentral.